RNAcentral lists this ribosomal RNA (400 nucleotides) under uncultured bacterium. RNAcentral's name for it is "bacterial SSU rRNA". It matches the Rfam family "Bacterial small subunit ribosomal RNA", at positions 356 to 773 of the family's 1533-position model. The record is from RNAcentral.
GGGGAAUAUUGGACAAUGGGCGAAAGCCUGAUCCAGCAAUGCCGCGUGAGUGAUGAAGGCCUUAGGGUUGUAAAGCUCUUUUACCCGGGAUGAUAAUGACAGUACCGGGAGAAUAAGCCCCGGCUAACUCCGUGCCAGCAGCCGCGGUAAUACGGAGGGGGCUAGCGUUGUUCGGAAUUACUGGGCGUAAAGCGCGCGUAGGCGGCUAUUCAAGUCAGAGGUGAAAGCCUGGUGCUCAACACCAGAACUGCCUUUGAAACUAGAUAGCUAGAAUCACGGAGAGGUCAGUGGAAUUCCGAGUGUAGAGGUGAAAUUCGUAGAUAUUCGGAAGAACACCAGUGGCGAAGGCGACUGACUGGACGUGUAGUGACGCUGAGGUGCGAAAGCGUGGGGAGCAAAC